This 354-nucleotide ribosomal RNA is filed under the name uncultured Campylobacterota bacterium. RNAcentral's name for it is "bacterial SSU rRNA". It matches the Rfam family "Bacterial small subunit ribosomal RNA", at positions 552 to 905 of the family's 1533-position model. Lineage: Bacteria; Pseudomonadati; Campylobacterota. The record is from RNAcentral.
CACUGGGCCUAAAGAGCAUGUAGGCGGGUUAAUAAGUCAGAAGUGAAAUCCAAUAGCUCAACUAUUGAACUGCUUUUGAAACUGUUAGCCUAGAAUAUGGGAGAGGUAGAUGGAAUUUCUGGUGUAGGGGUAAAAUCCGUAGAGAUCAGAAGGAAUACCGAUUGCGAAGGCGAUCUACUGGAACAUAACUGACGCUGAGACGCGAAAGCGUGGGGAGCAAACAGGAUUAGAUACCCUGGUAGUCCACGCCCUAAACGAUGCACACUAGUUGUUGCUAUGCUAGACAUAGCAGUAAUGCAGUUAACACAUUAAGUGUGCCGCCUGGGGAGUACGGUCGCAAGAUUAAAACUCAAA